Molecule: long non-coding RNA, 769 nt
Organism: Oncorhynchus kisutch (coho salmon)
Lineage: Eukaryota; Metazoa; Chordata; Actinopteri; Salmoniformes; Salmonidae
Exons: 3
Source: RefSeq, a predicted model, not a curated record
UGCACUUGUCUGCCGAUAAUUUAGCCUACUUGUCUGCGAAAUUCUUGGUGCAAUGGAAGGGCCUAGCGUUCAUUGAGAUUCAGAAUGUUGUUUCUGGUUUCUGACAACACACAGCAGCCGGCCAGCCAGUACCUCGCCUGUAGCCACAGCGUCAUGUGAUCAUGACUGAUCAGUUCCUUUCAUGUAAACUGUGUCUAGUCUGUCUUUUGCGUCGUUUUCCUUUGCUUUGGAGAUCAGCAGGCCUCUACUGUGGAUGCAGUCAGUAACACCAGUCCCAAUUGCAUAGAUCAGAAGUGGACCCUAUAGCCUGGAGAGCCUGCAGUGGUCCCACAGUGGCCGCGAUGGUUGCCAGGGGUCACCGUAGAUUCUAUCUCCUCGGUCGCGGACGCUAUAGGAAGUGACACGGGCGGUGUGACAUCCCUGGGGGGCUAUUUCUGUCCCCCACUCCCUGACAUGCUGCAUCCACAGGCACUGAAUGACUGACACACACACAUGCACGCACGCACACACACACACACACACACACGCACGCACACACACACACACUGAGUGAUUGACUUCCCUGUGCUCAUUGUCACUGGACGACCUCCAAACUUGAUGCUGAGCUGGGAAACAUCUGAGUGGGGCUCGUGUCCUUGGUGGCCCCUAUGGGCCUGGCGCCUCUGGUUGGAUGAAGAGUGUUUUAAUAGUGAUUCAGUCUAUUCAAUGCUGACGUUUCCAUUGAAAUGAACUCAGUGUUUAAUGUAGCUGUCUUCAUUUACUCCCUCCC